UAGCGGAGGAAAAGAAACUAACAAGGAUUCCCCUAGUAACGGCGAGUGAAGCGGGAAGAGCUCAAAUUUGUAAUCUGGCCCUUUCAGGGUCCGAGUUGUAAUCUCGAGAAGUGUUUUCCGCGCCGGACCGCAUACAAGUCUGUUGGAAUACAGCGUCAUAGUGGUGAGAGCCCCGUAAUUGAUGUGGAUGCCCGGUGCUUUGUGAUACACUUUCGAAGAGUCGAGUUGUUUGGGAAUGCAGCUCAAAUUGGGUGGUAAAUUCCAUCUAAAGCUAAAUAUUGGCGAGAGACCGAUAGCGAACAAGUACCGUGAGGGAAAGAUGAAAAGCACUUUGGAAAGAGAGUUAACAGUACGUGAAAUUGUUGGAAGGGAAACGCUUGAAGUCAGACUUGCUAUUCGGAAUUCAGCCGCAAGGUGUACUUUUCGAUUUGCAGGCCAGCAUCAGUUUUUGGGGGUGGAAAAGGGUGGAGAGAAGGUAGCAACCUUGGUUGUGUUAUAGCUCUUUACUGGAUUCAUCUUUGGGGACUGAGGAUCGCAGUGCGCAAUUUACUUUGCAAACCUUUCGAGGUUUUCGUACUUAGGAUGCUGGUGGAAUGGCUUUAAACGACCCGUCUUGA
Molecule: ribosomal RNA, 617 nt
Filed under: Glaciozyma watsonii
Lineage: Eukaryota; Fungi; Basidiomycota; Microbotryomycetes; Kriegeriales; Camptobasidiaceae
Description: partial large subunit ribosomal RNA
Rfam family: Eukaryotic large subunit ribosomal RNA
Source: RNAcentral